This 253-nucleotide ribosomal RNA is filed under the name uncultured bacterium. RNAcentral's name for it is "partial 16S ribosomal RNA". It matches the Rfam family "Bacterial small subunit ribosomal RNA", at positions 524 to 776 of the family's 1533-position model. The record is from RNAcentral.
UACGUAGGGUGCGAGCGUUGUCCGGAUUUAUUGGGCGUAAAGGGCUCGUAGGCGGUUUGUCGCGUCUGCCGUGAAAGUCCGGGGCUCAACUCCGGAUCUGCGGUGGGUACGGGCAGACUAGAGUGAUGUAGGGGAGACUGGAAUUCCUGGUGUAGCGGUGAAAUGCGCAGAUAUCAGGAGGAACACCGAUGGCGAAGGCAGGUCUCUGGGCAUUAACUGACGCUGAGGAGCGAAAGCAUGGGGAGCGAACAGG